Molecule: unclassified non-coding RNA, 240 nt
Filed under: Hevea brasiliensis (rubber tree)
Lineage: Eukaryota; Viridiplantae; Streptophyta; Magnoliopsida; Malpighiales; Euphorbiaceae
Source: RNAcentral
UGAGAAGUAGCUGAAACUCAAAAGUUCACGAGCUGCCAUCCCAGUGUGCAUCAAAAUCUAUCUAGAAAUAAGCUCAACUAAGCAUUUACAGCCAUUUGGAAUUGCUGUGGAACACGAAGCAAGGGAGCUUGGGCAGCCCCAGGCUUGCCAAGUUGGCCACAAGCAGCCAUCUGAUCAUCCCCUCUACUGUGCCUCAAGAAAACAGUGCAUUUGGCCUCUGCCAAAAUAUUUCGAAACUCU